GGGUAUCUCUGCAGCUAAAGAAUGGACUACAACAAUUAAUUAAUUUAUUGUGUAAAUUGAUGCAAACCUAGUAUGACAAUGUUAUACAUGUAUACACGGGAAAAAAUUAAAGAAAAAAAUAUUUGGAAGAUUUAUAACGUUGACGACCGCUGAAACGCACGUCAUCACGUCAGGCCAGACAGUGCACGCUGCUGUGAGGGGAAGUUAAAACAGCUCGAGAAGGUUGGCGCUUCACCGGUUUGUCAGUGAAAAAACUAAUCGAUCUUGUUGCGUGUUUUCUCACAGUUCACCACAGACAAAUGUGCUUCGCACUAUUUUGUGUCGACUGACUGACCGACCAUCCUUCACAUUGACCAUCGUUUACGCGGAUAAACUCAGGAAACAGUUCACCACAUACAAAUAUGCUUCGCGCUAUUUUCCAGUGGAGACUGACUGACCGUUCUUUACAUUGACCGCCGUUAACGUUGCAAAACUAAGGAAGCAGCAGUGUUGGAUAAAGUCUUUGGCUCUCUGAAAGUCAUCAAGAUGAAUGCUGCCAGAACCAUCCAACACAAAAGCAAUCUCUGUCCCAGGGUCUACAACAUACAGGAUUUGGUACAAACAAAAGACAUUAUUACCCACCAAUUGGACUACUUUAAUGAUGAUGUAUGUGUUUCAACAAGUUGGAUACUACAGUAUAUGGACAUAAAGUAAUUCAGCUGAAGAUGUUCAACAAAUAGCAGCAUGGACAUUCUGCCAAACAUCUUCUGUAACCUCUAAUGUGUGAUAAAACCAAUUUUUACAGUCUAUGAAUAAAACUCGUACCUGCAUUUCCAGUUAUGCUUAGUUCCAUGUGAGAAAGGAUGUCGUCUAAGGCAGCGUAACUGGAUACAUUAAAAAACUUAUCAGCA
Misgurnus anguillicaudatus (oriental weatherfish) is the source of this 890-nucleotide non-coding RNA. The record is from RefSeq and is a predicted model, not a curated record. Lineage: Eukaryota; Metazoa; Chordata; Actinopteri; Cypriniformes; Cobitidae.